This is a non-coding RNA of Perkinsus marinus ATCC 50983, 73 nucleotides long. NCBI's taxonomy places the organism in Eukaryota, Perkinsozoa, Perkinsida, Perkinsidae. The record is from the annotation of a RefSeq genome assembly.
AUUCUUGUGGCAUAAUGGAUAUGGUAUUAGUCUUCAGAAAUGAAGAUUGUGAGUUCGAAUCUCACUGAGAUCG